Molecule: ribosomal RNA, 460 nt
Filed under: uncultured bacterium
Lineage: Bacteria
Description: partial 16S ribosomal RNA
Rfam family: Bacterial small subunit ribosomal RNA
Source: RNAcentral
CCUACGGGUGGCAGCAGUGAGGAAUAUUGGUCAAUGGACGAGAGUCUGAACCAGCCAAGUAGCGUGAAGGAUGACUGCCCUAUGGGUUGUAAACUUCUUUUAUAUGGGAAUAAAAUGUUCCACGUGUGGGAGUUUGUAUGUACCAUAUGAAUAAGGAUCGGCUAACUCCGUGCCAGCAGCCGCGGUAAUACGGAGGAUCCGAGCGUUAUCCGGAUUUAUUGGGUGUAAAGUGAGCGUAGGUGGAUUGUUAAGUCAGUUGUGAAAGUUUGCGGCUCAACCGUAAAAUUGCAGUUGAAACUGGCAGUCUUGAGUACAGUAGAGGUGGGCGGAAUUCGUGGUGUAGCGGUGAAAUGCUGAGAUAUCACGAAGAACUCCGAUUGCGAAGGCAGCUCACUGGACUGCAACUGACACUGAGGCUCGAAAGUGUGGGUAUCAAACAGGAGUAGAUACCCGUGUAGUC